CCAGGAACAAAAAGAAGAAUAUAUGCUUGAUAGCAAUUCAAUUGUCAAUAAUCUUUGAGGAUUUAUGCUGAUUUAACCAGAAAUGCUCUUUCAGAACAUGGAUUUAUCACAUGUCAUAGAACAUUGAAGUCACAUUAGAAUGUGAUAAUUUAUCCACUGAACUAGAAGCACAUGGUUUGCAGAACAUUGGCUACAAUAAGAACAUACUCUGCAUCAGAGAGGGUUCAACAUCAACAACAAUGUCUGCAAAAACAGAAUUACAGCUGUGAAGAAGAGAGAAGGGAUUAAGUCACAAAUGAGGAGCUGCAGUGGCCCAUGAACAAUACAUAGAUCCAUCUCCUGGAACUUGUGACCACUCGCCCAGGAUCGCACUCAUGACCACAACAAAGAUGAUGGCUUUUCUGUUUCUCCUGUUGCACCACAUCAGACACCUGCAGCAAAUACUGAGGCGACACUAUGUGAAGUCUGCCUAGUGACUCUUAGAAACUCCAACUAAUGACUUCUCUGGGAGGGAUAAAGUUGGGCACAUAAAAUUAUCUUGUUGAGAAUACAUGGGUACAUUUAUAGUCUCACAUAUAUUUCAUUUAUAAAUUUAAAAUUAUUUUAGACAGUUACAAUUUUUGGAGUAAAAAUAAGUAGAAUAAUAUCAUUUAAAUAAUACUUUUAAACUUUUUCAUAUUUUUUCUGAAUACCUUGAUUAACAUUUAUUUGGUCACAUUAUUUGUCCCAUUUUUUAAAAAGAAGGACAAUAGGCUAUGAGAAAGUAAGUACAUUUGAGUUCCAAUUAUUCUUAAUAUGUUGUAUCAUAGUAUUUCAUUUGCAACGAAGUCAGUUACACAGCAAACUAACCAACUGCAUAAAUAAAAAUAAUAAUAUGAAACUAGAAAUUGACAUUUGAAACUCUUAACUACCAUCAGUACCAAAUAUACUUUUGGUUAUCUUGUCAAAUUAUAGGGAUGAGUGGCUGAGACCAUGCCGGUAUGUUUGUUAGGGUUGAAUGGAGUGCUAGAGUGUUGCUAUUGGCCUUGAAAUAGAUUGAUUUUUUUUUCUUUUUUUUUUUUGCCUUCUACCUGGGGUCAUGGUCUCUGCCUUACUUGCACAGGGUCCUCAUUAUCAAAGCAGAUUAUCUGACACAUAUUAUACAAUAUGUUAAAUAGCUUACUUUAAAUAUACACACUUUCACCAUAUUCAAACGUGAGUACUCAGAACUUAAAAACACAAGAUUUUAUUAAAAACAAUUUUAAUUAAAAAUAAAAUUGUGUUUUAAACUUUAUGUGUUUCCUAGCCUUUUUAAAAAAUAAGCGUUCUUAUUUAACAGUAUAUAAUGCUAUCAACCAAUAAGUUUAAAGUAAGUAUCUGUUUAAGGAAAUUUCUUCAUAAGAAAAUAUACUGAAUUUUCAUAUGGUGUCUAGCUGCACUUUUUUUUAGUGCUUUGUUCAUUUCCUGUCACAAGAUGUUAAUUUCAAAG
This 1468-nucleotide long non-coding RNA is filed under the name Macaca mulatta (Rhesus monkey). Its description in RNAcentral is "lncRNA (ENSMMUG00000056448.1)". The record is from RNAcentral. Lineage: Eukaryota; Metazoa; Chordata; Mammalia; Primates; Cercopithecidae.